This is a non-coding RNA of Camellia sinensis, 326 nucleotides long. The record is from RefSeq and is a predicted model, not a curated record. Lineage: Eukaryota; Viridiplantae; Streptophyta; Magnoliopsida; Ericales; Theaceae.
UCUCUCGGUUUCUCUCUCGGUUUCUCUCUCUCUCCCUCCACCGAUCUCCCUCCGUCGUCCUCCUCUCCCCCUCCUCCGCUGUCCUCCUCUCCCUCAUCUCAUCACCGCCGAUCUCCCUACUCCUCCGCUGUCUUUGGCCAGAGAGAGCUGUGGUUAGGGUUUUCGAUCUCGGCCAGAACAAGUACUCAGAUCUGCAACGAUCGAGGCCACAAGCGUCGCCGCUGGUGAACAAGUUGAGUUCGAUGCCCUAGACAGCAGAGGUCUCCAACAAUAUUUUUGGAUUUGUUUUUGGAGAUAGAGAAACAAUGUUUCGAAUGUCUCUCUCA